AAAUAGAUACCCAGGUAGUCCACGCCGUAAACGAUGAGUGCUAAGUGUUAGAGGGUUUCCGCCCUUUAGUGCUGAAGUUAACGCAUUAAGCACUCCGCCUGGGGAGUACGGCCGCAAGGCUGAAACUCAAAGGAAUUGACGGGGGCCCGCACAAGCGGUGGAGCAUGUGGUUUAAUUCGAAGCAACGCGAAGAACCUUACCAGGUCUUGACAUCCUCUGACAACCCUAGAGAUAGGGCUUCUCCUUCGGGAGCAGAGUGACAGGUGGUGCAUGGUUGUCGUCAGCUCGUGUCGUGAGAUGUUGGGUUAAGUCCCGCAACGAGCGCAACCUUUGAUCUUAGUUGCCAUCAUUAAGUUGGGCACUCUAAGGUGACUGCCGGUGACAAACCGGAGGAAGGUGGGGAUGGACGUCAAAUCAUCAUGCCCCUUAUGACCUGGGCUACACACGUGCUACAAUGGACGGUACAAAGAGCUGCAAGACCGCGAGGUGGAGCUAAUCUCAUAAAACCGUUCUCAGUUCGGAUUGUAGG
RNAcentral lists this ribosomal RNA (529 nucleotides) under uncultured bacterium. RNAcentral's name for it is "bacterial SSU rRNA". It matches the Rfam family "Bacterial small subunit ribosomal RNA", at positions 776 to 1304 of the family's 1533-position model. The record is from RNAcentral.